This 796-nucleotide ribosomal RNA is filed under the name uncultured bacterium. Its description in RNAcentral is "bacterial SSU rRNA". It matches the Rfam family "Bacterial small subunit ribosomal RNA", at positions 8 to 796 of the family's 1533-position model. The record is from RNAcentral.
AGAGUUUGAUCCUGGCUCAGAUUGAACGCUGGCGGCGUGCCUUACACAUGCAAGUCGAGCGAGAAGGGCGGCAACCCCGAUUCGAGUGGCGAACGGGUGAGUAAUACGUCGAUACACUGCCUGUAGCGGGGGACUACCUCGAGAAAUCUAGGCUUAUUCCGCAUACAAUCUACAGGUGAAAGUGGGGGCUCGCAAGAGCUCUCACCAUAGGAGUGGUCGAUGCCGAAUUAGCUAGUUGGUAGGGUAACGGCCUACCAAGGCGACGAUCGGUAGCUGGCUUGAGAGAGUGAUCAGCCACACUGGGACUGAGACACGGUCCAGACUCCUACGGGAGGCAGCAGUAGGGAAUUUUGGACAAUGGGCGAAAGCCUGAUGCAGCCAUGCCGCGUGAGUGAAGAAGGUCUUUGGGUUGUAACUCUUUUUCGCCCGGAAAAAAUGACUCGGGGUAACCAUCCCGCUUAGAUGAUGGUACCGGAAGAAGAAGCGACCGGCUAACUACGUGCCAGCAGCCGCGGUAAUACAGUAGGGUGCAAGCGUUAUUCGGAAUUACUGGCCUUAAAGCGUGCGUAGGCGGUCUCCAAAGUGCCUAUGUGAAUUCCUCGAGCUUAACGUGGGAACUGCCGUUCGAAACUAUGAGCCUAGAGUGCGGCAGAGGCGAGGUGGAUUUCCAGGUGUAGCAGUAAAAUGCGUAGAUGAUCGGGAGGAACCCAGAUGCGAAAGCCACUCGCCUGGCCUAGUACUGACGUUAAGACAGGAAAGCUUGGGGACCAACCAGGAUUAGAUACCCCCGUAUUCC